Molecule: ribosomal RNA, 253 nt
Filed under: uncultured bacterium
Lineage: Bacteria
Description: partial 16S ribosomal RNA
Rfam family: Bacterial small subunit ribosomal RNA
Source: RNAcentral
GACGAACCGUGCGAACGUUGUUCGGAAUCACUGGGCUUAAAGGGCGCGUAGGCGGGUGUGCAAGUCUGCGGUGAAAGCCUCCAGCUUAACUGGAGAAGUGCCGUGGAUACUGCAUAUCUUGAGGAGGGUAGGGGCAUGCGGAACUGUAGGUGGAGCGGUGAAAUGCGUUGAUAUCUACAGGAACUCCGGUGGCGAAAGCGGCGUGCUGGACCUUUUCUGACGCUGAGGCGCGAAAGCUAGGGGAGCAAACGGG